This 264-nucleotide ribosomal RNA is filed under the name uncultured archaeon. RNAcentral describes it as "partial 16S ribosomal RNA". It matches the Rfam family "Archaeal small subunit ribosomal RNA", at positions 748 to 1008 of the family's 1478-position model. The record is from RNAcentral.
CAGCCGUAAACUAUGCGCGUUAGGUGUACUGGUGACCACGAGUCACCGGGGUGCCGAAGGGAAACCGUGAAACGUGCCGCCUGGGAAGUACGGUCGCAAGGCUGAAACUUAAAGGAAUUGGCGGGGGGAGGCACCACAACGGGUGGAGCCUGCGGUUUAAUUUGGACUCAACGCCGGAAAUCUCACCGGAUAGGACAGACAUAUGAUAGUCGGGCUGAAGACUCUACUUGAUGAUCUGAGAGGUGGUGCAUGGCGUCAGUGACU